AAAUGCGUUAAGUAAUGUGAAUUGCAGAAUUCAGUGAAUCAUCGAAUCUUUGAACGCACCUUGCGCUCCUUGGUAUUCCUUGGAGCAUGCCUGUUUGAGUAUCAUGAAAUCUUCAAAGUAAAUCUUUUGUUAACUCAAUUGGUUUCUACUUUGGUAUUGGAGGUCUUUGCAGCUUCACACCUGCUCCUCUUUGUUCAUUAGCUGGAUCUCAGUGUUAUGCUUGGUUCCACUCGGCGUGAUAAGUUAUCUAUCGCUGAGGACACUGUAAAAGGUGGUCAAGGUAAAUGCAGAUGAACCGCUUCUAAUAGUCCAUUGACUUGGACAAUACUUUUAUGAUCUGAUCUCAAAUCAGGUAGGACUACCCGCUGAACUUAAGC
This 377-nucleotide unclassified non-coding RNA is filed under the name plant metagenome. RNAcentral's name for it is "partial contains 5.8S ribosomal RNA, internal transcribed spacer 2, and large subunit ribosomal RNA". The stretch from base 1 to 104 matches the Rfam family "5.8S ribosomal RNA", at positions 51 to 154 of the family's 154-position model. The record is from RNAcentral.